Molecule: long non-coding RNA, 232 nt
Organism: Maniola jurtina (meadow brown)
Lineage: Eukaryota; Metazoa; Arthropoda; Insecta; Lepidoptera; Nymphalidae
Exons: 3
Source: RefSeq, a predicted model, not a curated record
UAUACCAGUUUAAUGAUACCGUCGAGUCCCUUGACUUCGCCUGCUAAACCAUACUUCGCCUAAUUUUAAAAACAUCGAAAAAUCUGCUAAAGUUGGGAACCGAACAGCUCAAAACCUACCAAAUACAAUACUAGUGUUAUCUACGGCAAUACUAUUCCUGACCAUUUGUAACUAACUUUACAACAAUAGCGACCAGAGCCAUUUAUCUGCUGCGGGAAGUGAGAUGUUUUUU